Molecule: ribosomal RNA, 273 nt
Filed under: uncultured bacterium
Lineage: Bacteria
Description: partial 16S ribosomal RNA
Rfam family: Bacterial small subunit ribosomal RNA
Source: RNAcentral
UACGGGGGGUGCAAGCGUUGUUCGGAAUCAUUGGGCGUAAAGAGCGUGUAGGCGGUUGGACAAGUCAGAUGUGAAAGCCCUGGGCUCAACCCAGGAAGUGCAUUUGAAACUGUUCAGCGAGAGUAAGGGAGAGGAAAGUGGAAGUCCUGGUGGAGAGGUGACAUUCGUAGAUCGCAGGAGGAACACCGGGGGCGAAGGCGACGUUCUGGCCCUAUACUGACGCUGAGACGCUAGAGCGUGGUUAGCAAACAGGAUUAGAUACCCCUGUAGUCC